GACGAACGCUGGCGGCGUGCUUAACACAUGCAAGUCGAACGAUGAAGAAAAGAAUUGAAGCUUCGGCAGAAAUUCAUUUCGGAUUAGUGGCAGACGGGUGAGUAACGCGUGAGCAACCUACCUCUUACAAAGGGAUAGCCUCGGGAAACCGGGAUUAAUACCAUAUAACAUUGCGACGAAGCAUUUCGAUGCAAUCAAAGCUACGGCGGUAAGAGAUGGGCUCGCGUCCCAUUAACCAGAUGGUGAGGUAACGGCUCACCAUAGUAACGAUGGGUAACCGGCCUGAGAGGGUGAACGGUCACACUGGAACUGAGACACGGUCCAGACUCCUACGGGAGGCAGCAGUGGGGAAUAUUGCACAAUGGAGGGAACUCUGAUGCAGCGACGCCGCGUGAGUGAUGAAGGAAUUCGUUUCGUAAAACUCUGUUCUAUGGGAAGAAAAGGACUGUACCAUAGGAGAAAGCUCCGGCUAAAUACGUA
This 480-nucleotide ribosomal RNA is filed under the name uncultured bacterium. RNAcentral describes it as "partial 16S ribosomal RNA". It matches the Rfam family "Bacterial small subunit ribosomal RNA", at positions 28 to 507 of the family's 1533-position model. The record is from RNAcentral.